GUCCAGCCGCCGCGGUCAUACCGGCAGCCCGAGUGAUGGCCGAUCUUAUUGGGCCUAAAGCGUCCGUAGCUGGCGGCGCAAGUCCGUCGGGAAAUCCACUCGCCCAACGAGUGGGCGUCCGGUGGAAACUGCACAGCUUGGGACCGGAAGGCUCGAAGGGUACGUUCGGGGUAGGAGUGAAAUCCCAUAAUCCCGCACGGACCACCGAUGGCGAAAGCACUUCGAGAAAACGGAUCCGACAGUGAGGGACGAAAGCCAGGGUCUCCAACCGGAUUAGAAACCCCAGUAGUCC
RNAcentral lists this ribosomal RNA (292 nucleotides) under uncultured bacterium. RNAcentral describes it as "partial 16S ribosomal RNA". It matches the Rfam family "Archaeal small subunit ribosomal RNA", at positions 456 to 747 of the family's 1478-position model. The record is from RNAcentral.